UUUGAUCAUGGCUCAGAUUGAACGCUGGCGGCAUGCCUUACACAUGCAAGUCGAACGGUAACAGGUCUUCGGACGCUGACGAGUGGCGAACGGGUGAGUAAUACAUCGGAACGUGCCCAGUCGUGGGGGAUAACUACUCGAAAGAGUAGCUAAUACCGCAUACGAUCUGAGGAUGAAAGCGGGGGACCUUCGGGCCUCGCGCGAUUGGAGCGGCCGAUGGCAGAUUAGGUAGUUGGUGGGAUAAAAGCUUACCAAGCCGACGAUCUGUAGCUGGUCUGAGAGGACGACCAGCCACACUGGGACUGAGACACGGCCCAGACUCCUACGGGAGGCAGCAGUGGGGAAUUUUGGACAAUGGGCGAAAGCCUGAUCCAGCAAUGCCGCGUGCAGGAUGAAGGCCUUCGGGUUGUAAACUGCUUUUGUACGGAACGAAAAAGCUUCUCCUAAUACGAGAGGCCCAUGACGGUACCGUAAGAAUAAGCACCGGCUAACUACGUGCCAGCAGCCGCGGUAAUACGUAGGGUGCGAGCGUUAAUCGGAAUUACUGGGCGUAAAGCGUGCGCAGGCGGUUAUGUAAGACAGAUGUGAAAUCCCCGGGCUCAACCUGGGAACUGCAUUUGUGAC
Molecule: ribosomal RNA, 624 nt
Filed under: Delftia acidovorans
Lineage: Bacteria; Pseudomonadati; Pseudomonadota; Betaproteobacteria; Burkholderiales; Comamonadaceae
Description: bacterial SSU rRNA
Rfam family: Bacterial small subunit ribosomal RNA
Source: RNAcentral